AGCCGCUGCUCCUCAUCAGAUUAUAUCCAAAUUGCUUUACAAGGUGCUCCCAAAAAAGACACAGAAAUAUAAGAUGACGUCUAAGUGCUGACUAGCCUCCUUCACCGGCCUGACAGGGUAUAUACAUAGAGAUGUGUAACCCCGUCCCUUCUCAGCUCCGAGAUGGAAGAAUAUAUAGGAGGCUGGAACCAUAGAUCUAUGUAGCUCUUUUAUCUAUGAUGCUGAUGGAUGGUGUUUAACUCGUGGACUUCUAUCUCUAAUCACUAAUUCCUAUAAUGAGACUGACCUUUUAAUGCCAUGGAUGUUAACUGCGGACUUCUGUCUCUAGUAUUGAUGUGUGGACCUUUUAUUGUAAGUGGGCCUAACCAACUGUAGCCUCGUUCCCAUGCCGAUUUUUCUUGACGGCCUAGUAUUGAUUGUAUCUACGCGUGGUUAAGGGACUGGGAAAAAGCAGACACAUUUUGCGGUUAAUCCGUAAAUUUAGCUCUGUGUAUGCUCUCAGACUCAAGUACUAAAAUGUAGCCAUACAGAACAGGCCCAGGCUCUCAAGCUUCUGUCGGAAGUCUUUUUCUGGUUUUCAACAAGGUAUAUAGGUUUGAGUGCGCGUGGCUCUUUUUCAAGCUUCCCUCCCAAACUUAAAAUCCUAGAUGAACGGUAUAUAUUAUUACAGCUACUGACUAAAAGGACGAAGGCUGACUCUGCUGUUCAAAAAUAAUGUUUCUGGUAAAUGCACUCCAAGUACUUUGUGGGAGGAGAGUUAUUGCGGUUUACUCUCGCCCACGCGCUCAUUAAAAUUGACUACAGUACGUCAGUGGGGGAUCACGCGACUUAGCAAGGCAAGCUCUCCUUUUUGUUUGUCGCUUCCUUCUUUCCCUCCAAUUCUUGUGACAAAGAACAGAAAAAGGAGGGCCUGCAAAGGAGGCUAUGUUAGUGAUGUAUUCAAUCCUAGAUGUAGAAUGGAAUGUGCGUGGG
Molecule: long non-coding RNA, 972 nt
Organism: Halichondria panicea
Lineage: Eukaryota; Metazoa; Porifera; Demospongiae; Suberitida; Halichondriidae
Exons: 3
Source: RefSeq, a predicted model, not a curated record